UCAGACCACCUGAAACAUCGACACAUUUCCGAGCAGGGCUUAUAGGAAUCAUAACGAUGUGGAGGUGCCGGUAUUGGAUUGGGGUGGACAAAAUUUAAAAAUCACACAUUACUAGCUAUCUGAUGAAGGGGCCGUGCUCUGAAAGCUCAUAAUUCCAAAUAAACUUGCUGGACUAUAA
Molecule: long non-coding RNA, 178 nt
Organism: Hemiscyllium ocellatum (epaulette shark)
Lineage: Eukaryota; Metazoa; Chordata; Chondrichthyes; Orectolobiformes; Hemiscylliidae
Exons: 2
Source: RefSeq, a predicted model, not a curated record